RNAcentral lists this ribosomal RNA (465 nucleotides) under Vreelandella stevensii. RNAcentral's name for it is "partial 16S ribosomal RNA". It matches the Rfam family "Bacterial small subunit ribosomal RNA", at positions 338 to 795 of the family's 1533-position model. Lineage: Bacteria; Pseudomonadati; Pseudomonadota; Gammaproteobacteria; Oceanospirillales; Halomonadaceae. The record is from RNAcentral.
CCUACGGGUGGCAGCAGUGGGGAAUAUUGGACAAUGGGGGGAACCCUGAUCCAGCCAUGCCGCGUGUGUGAAGAAGGCCCUCGGGUUGUAAAGCACUUUCAGUGAGGAAGAACGCCUGGUGGUUAAUACCCAUCAGGAAAGACAUCACUCACAGAAGAAGCACCGGCCAACUCCGUGCCAGCAGCCGCGGUAAUACGGAGGGUGCGAGCGUUAAUCGGAAUUACUGGGCGUAAAGCGCGCGUAGGUGUCUUGAUAAGCCGGUUGUGAAAGCCCCGGGCUCAACCUGGGAACGGCAUCCGGAACUGUCAAGCUAGAGUGCAGGAGAGGAAGGUAGAAGUCCCGGUGUAGCGGUGAAAUGCGUAGAGAUCGGGAGGAAUACCAGUGGCGAAGGCGGCCUUCUGGACUGAAACUGACACUGAGGUGCGAAAGCGUGGGUAGCAAACAGGAUUAGAUACCCGGGUAGUC